RNAcentral lists this ribosomal RNA (497 nucleotides) under uncultured bacterium. RNAcentral's name for it is "partial 16S ribosomal RNA". It matches the Rfam family "Bacterial small subunit ribosomal RNA", at positions 28 to 507 of the family's 1533-position model. The record is from RNAcentral.
GAUGAACGCUGGCGGCGUGCCUAAUACAUGCAAGUCGAGCGAACAGACGAGGAGCUUGCUCCUCUGACGUUAGCGGCGGACGGGUGAGUAACACGUGGAUAACCUACCUAUAAGACUGGGAUAACUUUGGGAAACCGGAGCUAAUACCGGAUAAUAUAUUGAACCGCAUGGUUCAAUAGUGAAAGACGGUUUUGCUGUCACUUAUAGAUGGAUCCGCGCCGCAUUAGCUAGUUGGUAAGGUAACGGCUUACCAAGGCGACGAUGCGUAACCGACCUGAGAGGGUGAUCGGCCACACUGGAACUGAGACACGGUCCAGACUCCUACGGGAGGCAGCAGUAGGGAAUCUUCCGCAAUGGGCGAAAGCCUGACGGAGCAACGCCGCGUGAGUGAUGAAGGUCUUCGGAUCGUAAAACUCUGUUAUUAGGGAAGAACAAAUGUGUAAGUAACUAUGCACGUCUUGACGGUACCUAAUCAGAAAGCCACGGCUAACUACGUG